GGGGUCGACUUGGCUUCGACGUGGGUCGCAAAGCAGAUAAGGGCAUACCGAGGGUCGGAUGACCUCGUAAAUCCAACCGAAAAAGUAAUAGUCGCCAACGACGAAACCUACGCUCUGGCCGCUUAAUUGCGCCAGACUCUGCACCAGUCAGCCUGCGGACUGGGUCGGGUAAAACCGGCAGCAGAGUCACUUCAGCAGGAUCGCGCUGUCCCGGGUGGCUUGGGCCAGCGUUAAAUCAAGGUCACUCGCCUGAGGCGAGCCUGUUCGGCGGGCGCGCACCGGGUUAAAACCCAAAACACCGGACUAAGUAUGUAGAACUUACUGUAGAGGGCUUGCGGACGGGGGUUCGAUUCCCCCCGACUCCACCA
RNAcentral lists this transfer-messenger RNA (368 nucleotides) under Thiobacillus sp. 65-29. It matches the Rfam family "transfer-messenger RNA". From Rfam's summary of the family: Bacterial tmRNA, also known as 10Sa RNA or SsrA, is named for its dual tRNA and mRNA-like properties. RNAcentral also lists the same sequence under 1 other name. The record is from RNAcentral. Lineage: Bacteria; Pseudomonadati; Pseudomonadota; Betaproteobacteria; Nitrosomonadales; Thiobacillaceae.